GAUGAACGCUGGCGGCGUGCCUAAUACAUGCAAGUCGAGCGAACAGACGAGGAGCUUGCUCCUCUGACGUUAGCGGCGGACGGGUGAGUAACACGUGUAUAACCUACCUAUAAGACUGGGAUAACUUCGGGAAACCGGCUCUAAUACCGGAUAAUAUAUUGAACCGCAUGGUUCAAUAGUGAAAGACGGUUUUGCUGUCACUUAUAGAUGGAUCCGCGCCGCAUUAGCUAGUUGGUAAGGUAACGGCUUACCAAGGCGACGAUGCGUAGCCGACCUGAGAGGCGGAUCGGCCACACUGGAGCUGAGACACGGUCCAGACUCCUAAGGGAGGCAGCAGUAGGGAAUCUGCCGCAAUGGGCGAAAGCUUGACGGAGCAACGCCGCGUGAGUGAUGAAGGUGUUCGGAUCGUAAAACUCUGUUAUUAGGGAAGAACAAAUGUGUAAGUAACUAUGCACGUCUUGACGGUACCUAAUAAGAAAGCCACGGCUAACUACGUG
RNAcentral lists this ribosomal RNA (497 nucleotides) under uncultured bacterium. RNAcentral's name for it is "partial 16S ribosomal RNA". It matches the Rfam family "Bacterial small subunit ribosomal RNA", at positions 28 to 507 of the family's 1533-position model. The record is from RNAcentral.